This 301-nucleotide ribosomal RNA is filed under the name uncultured bacterium. RNAcentral's name for it is "partial 16S ribosomal RNA". It matches the Rfam family "Bacterial small subunit ribosomal RNA", at positions 509 to 808 of the family's 1533-position model. The record is from RNAcentral.
CAGCCGCCGCGGUAAUACGUAGGGGGCAAGCGUUGUCCGGAAUUAUUGGGCGUAAAGCGCGCGCAGGCGGUUUUUUAAGUCUGGUGUCUAAGUGCGGGGCUCAACCCCGUGACGCACUGGAAACUGGGAGACUUGAGUGCAGAAGAGGAGAGCGGAAUUCCACGUGUAGCGGUGAAAUGCGUAGAGAUGUGGAGGAACACCAGUGGCGAAGGCGGCUCUCUGGUCUGUAACUGACGCUGAGGAGCGAAAGCGUGGGGAGCGAACAGGAUUAGAUACCCCGGUAGUCCCUGUCUCUUAUACA